ACAGGGAUUGCCUAGUAACGGCGAGUGAAGCGGCAACAGCUCAAAUUUGAAAUCUGGCGUCUUUGGCGUCCGAGUUGUAAUUUGCAGAGGGCGCUUUGGCAUUGGCAGCGGUCCAAGUUCCUUGGAACAGGACGUCACAGAGGGUGAGAAUCCCGUACGUGGUCGCUAGCCUCUACCGUGUAAAGCCCCUUCGACGAGUCGAGUUGUUUGGGAAUGCAGCUCUAAAUGGGAGGUAAAUUUCUUCUAAAGCUAAAUACUGGCCAGAGACCGAUAGCGCACAAGUAGAGUGAUCGAAAGAUGAAAAGCACUUUGGAAAGAGAGUUAAAAAGCACGUGAAAUUGUUGAAAGGGAAGCGCUUGCAGCCAGACUUGCCUGUAGUUGCUCAUCCGGGUUUUUACCCGGUGCACUCUUCUACGGGCAGGCCAGCAUCAGUUUGGGCGGUUAGAUAAAGGUCUCUGACAUGUACCUCCUUUCGGGGAGAACUUAUAGGGGAGACGACAUGUAACCAGCCUGGACUGAGGUCCGCGCAUCUGCUAGGAUGCUGGCGUAAUGGCUGUAAGCGGCCCGUCUUGAAACACGGACCAAGGAGUCUAACAUCUAUGCGAGUGUUUGGGUGUCAAGCCCGAACGCGUAAUGAAAGUGAACGGAGGUGGGAACCUUUCGGGGUGCACCAUCGACCGAUCCUGAUGUCUUYGGAUGGAUUUGAGUAAGAGCAUAGCUGUUGGGACCCGAAAGAUGGUGAACUAUGCUUGAAUAGGGUGAAGCCAGAGGAAACUCUGGUGGAGGCUCGCAGCGGUUCUGACGUGCAAAUCGAUCGUCAAAUUUGGGCAUAGGGGCGAAAGACUAAUCGAACUAUCUAGUAGCUGGUUCCUGCCGAAGUUUCCCUCAGGAUAGCAGUAACGUUUUCAGUUUUAUGAGGUAAAGCGAAUGAUUAGAGGCCUGGGGGUUGAAACAACCUU
This 959-nucleotide ribosomal RNA is filed under the name Stagonosporopsis hortensis. RNAcentral's name for it is "partial large subunit ribosomal RNA". Lineage: Eukaryota; Fungi; Ascomycota; Dothideomycetes; Pleosporales; Didymellaceae. The record is from RNAcentral.